AGGCCACAUGGCACUUCCUACCAUCAAGCAAGCCAAAGCGUAAGCCAUGAUGAUGAAGACGAAGGGGCUAAUUCUUUGAAGACCCCACAUGGCCAACUGAAGCUGACAAGAGCUAACCCUCCAGAGACCCUAUAUGACUCACUGAAGCCAAUAGGAACUAACCCUCUGGCGAUCCCACACAGCCCACUGAAGCUGACAGGAGCUAACCCUCCAAA
Molecule: long non-coding RNA, 215 nt
Filed under: Elaeis guineensis (African oil palm)
Lineage: Eukaryota; Viridiplantae; Streptophyta; Magnoliopsida; Arecales; Arecaceae
Description: long non-coding RNA (EGUI_LNC028020)
Source: RNAcentral